Small nucleolar RNA from Pelodiscus sinensis (Chinese soft-shelled turtle), 77 nucleotides. It matches the Rfam family "Small nucleolar RNA SNORD19". From Rfam's summary of the family: Homo sapiens C/D box snoRNA HBII-108: This snoRNA is the human orthologue of the mouse MBII-108 and is predicted to guide 2'O-ribose methylation of the small 18S rRNA on position G683. snoRNA HBII-108 is encoded in a nucleostemin (NS) gene intron like the HBII-210 The record is from Rfam. NCBI's taxonomy places the organism in Eukaryota, Metazoa, Chordata, Testudines, Trionychidae.
GAGCUAUGAGGAAGAUAUCAACAAAGUCUGAGAGAUUACUGAUGACUGUAAGAUCCAACUCUGAGCUCGCUGUCUUA